Molecule: unclassified non-coding RNA, 364 nt
Filed under: fungal sp.
Lineage: Eukaryota; Fungi
Description: partial internal transcribed spacer region
Rfam family: Eukaryotic small subunit ribosomal RNA (bases 1-46)
Source: RNAcentral
AAGUCGUAACAAGGUAACCGUAGGUGAACCUGCGGUUGGAUCAUUACUGAAAUGAUGAGGAACGUUAGGCUUGUUCUCUCUUUUGAGAACUUGCCCAUCGUUUCUUGCACCUCGCUGUGCAAACACCUUAUUGUGCAAUGUACAUGUACGCUGGUGGGUGGCUGCUCUUACUUUAUUGUGAGUAGUCGCCAAGUCCCUUGUCAACUGCUGGCAUUCAUUCGUGAGUGUUCAUGUUAGGAGGCAUGGAAAAAGACAGCCCACCGGCCAAUGUUUAUACCUUCGUUAUUUUAUUUAAUUUGUCUGAAACAAAAGCAUUUGUAGUAAUAUACAAAAACAACUUUUGGCAACGGAUCUCUUGGUUCUC